RNAcentral lists this ribosomal RNA (483 nucleotides) under uncultured bacterium. RNAcentral describes it as "bacterial SSU rRNA". It matches the Rfam family "Bacterial small subunit ribosomal RNA", at positions 28 to 507 of the family's 1533-position model. The record is from RNAcentral.
GACGAACGCUGGCGGCGUGCCUAACACAUGCAAGUCGAGCGAAGUUUUCAAAGUAGAUUUCUUCGGAUUGAAACUUUGAUUAUCUUAGCGGCGGACGGGUGAGUAACGCGUGAGAAACCUGCCUUUCACAAAGGGAUAGCCUCGGGAAACUGGGAUUAAUACCUUAUGAUACUGAUUUUUCGCAUGGAAGAUUAGUCAAAGCGCAAAGCGGUGAAAGAUGGUCUCGCGUCCCAUUAGUUAGUUGGUGAGGUAACGGCUCACCAAGACCGCGAUGGGGUAGCCGGCCUGAGAGGGUGAACGGCCACACUGGAACUGAGACACGGUCCAGACUCCUACGGGAGGCAGCAGUGGGGAAUAUUGCACAAUGGAGGAAACUCUGAUGCAGCGACGCCGCGUGAACGAUGAAGGCUUUCGGGUCGUAAAGUUCUGUCCUAAGGGACGAUAAUGACGGUACCUUAGGAGGAAGCCCCGGCUAACUACGUG